UCCAUCGUGAGGUGGAAUCUGAAGGAAGCCGGAGGCAAAGUCCC
This is a non-coding RNA of Thermotalea metallivorans, 44 nucleotides long. The record is from Rfam. Lineage: Bacteria; Bacillati; Bacillota; Clostridia; Peptostreptococcales; Thermotaleaceae.